This is a non-coding RNA of Podarcis lilfordi (Lilford's wall lizard), 69 nucleotides long. NCBI's taxonomy places the organism in Eukaryota, Metazoa, Chordata, Lepidosauria, Squamata, Lacertidae. The record is from the annotation of a GenBank genome assembly.
GAUGAGCUCAGUUGGUCGAGCAUGAGGCUCUUAACCUCAGGUUCAUGGGUUCAAGCCCCAAAUAUGGCA